RNAcentral lists this ribosomal RNA (58 nucleotides) under Lasiodiplodia theobromae. Its description in RNAcentral is "partial 28S ribosomal RNA". Lineage: Eukaryota; Fungi; Ascomycota; Dothideomycetes; Botryosphaeriales; Botryosphaeriaceae. The record is from RNAcentral.
UUGACCUCGGAUCAGGUAGGGAUACCCGCUGAACUUAUUCAUAUCAAUAAGCCGGAAG